UACGGGGGGAGCAAGCGUUGUUCGGAUUUACUGGGCGUAAAGGGCGCGUAGGCGGUCAGCACAAGUCAGUUGUGAAAUCUCCGGGCUUAACUCGGAAAGGUCAACUGAUACUGUGCGACUAGAGUGCAGAAGGGGCAACUGGAAUUCUCGGUGUAGCGGUGAAAUGCGUAGAUAUCGAGAGGAACACCUGCGGCGAAGGCGGGUUGCUGGGCUGACACUGACGCUGAGGCACGAAAGCCAGGGGAGCGAACGGG
RNAcentral lists this ribosomal RNA (254 nucleotides) under uncultured bacterium. RNAcentral describes it as "partial 16S ribosomal RNA". It matches the Rfam family "Bacterial small subunit ribosomal RNA", at positions 524 to 776 of the family's 1533-position model. The record is from RNAcentral.